Molecule: ribosomal RNA, 456 nt
Filed under: Kocuria rosea
Lineage: Bacteria; Bacillati; Actinomycetota; Actinomycetes; Micrococcales; Micrococcaceae
Description: bacterial SSU rRNA
Rfam family: Bacterial small subunit ribosomal RNA
Source: RNAcentral
GUAAUACGUAGGGCGCAAGCGUUGUCCGGAAUUAUUGGGCGUAAAGAGCUCGUAGGCGGUUUGUCGCGUCUGCUGUGAAAGCCCGGGGCUCAACCCCGGGUCUGCAGUGGGUACGGGCAGACUAGAGUGCAGUAGGGGAGACUGGAAUUCCUGGUGUAGCGGUGAAAUGCGCAGAUAUCAGGAGGAACACCGAUGGCGAAGGCAGGUCUCUGGGCUGUUACUGACGCUGAGGAGCGAAAGCAUGGGGAGCGAACAGGAUUAGAUACCCUGGUAGUCCAUGCCGUAAACGUUGGGCACUAGGUGUGGGGGACAUUCCACGUUCUCCGCGCCGUAGCUAACGCAUUAAGUGCCCCGCCUGGGGAGUACGGCCGCAAGGCUAAAACUCAAAGGAAUUGACGGGGGCCCGCACAAGCGGCGGAGCAUGCGGAUUAAUUCGAUGCAACGCGAAGAACCUUA